UUCAACUGAAGAGUUUGAUCAUGGCUCAGAUUGAACGCUGGCGGCAGGCCUAACACAUGCAAGUCGAGCGGAAACAAGCCCAGCUUGCUAGAAGGCGACGAGCGGCGGACGGGUGAGUAACGCAUAGGAAUCUACCCAGUCGUGGGGGAUAACCUGAGGAAACUCAGGCUAAUACCGCAUACGUCCUACGGGAGAAAGCGGGGGAUCUUCGGACCUCGCGCGAUUGGAUGAGCCUAUGUCGGAUUAGCUAGUUGGUAAGGUAACGGCUUACCAAGGCAACGAUCCGUAGCUGGUCUGAGAGGAUGAUCAGCCACACCGGGACUGAGACACGGCCCGG
This is a ribosomal RNA of 337 nucleotides. It matches the Rfam family "Bacterial small subunit ribosomal RNA", at positions 1 to 334 of the family's 1533-position model.